GACGUAGGGCGCAAGCGUUGUCCGGAUUUAUUGGGCGUAAAGAGCUCGUAGGCGGCUCGUCGCGUCGACCGUGAAAACCCGCGGCUUAACUGCGGGCUUGCGGUUGAUACGGGCGGGCUAGAGUUCGGUAGGGGAGACUGGAGUUCCUGGUGUAGCGGUGAAAUGCGUAGAUAUCUGGAGGAACACCGGUGGCGAAGGCGGCAUCCUGGACCGACACUGACGCUGAGGAGCGAAAGCCAGGGGAGCAAACGGG
Molecule: ribosomal RNA, 253 nt
Filed under: uncultured bacterium
Lineage: Bacteria
Description: partial 16S ribosomal RNA
Rfam family: Bacterial small subunit ribosomal RNA
Source: RNAcentral